UACGUAGGUGGCGAGCGUUGUCCGGAUUUACUGGGCGUAAAGGGAGCGUAGGCGGACUUUUAAGUGAGAUGUGAAAUACCCGGGCUCAACUUGGGUGCUGCAUUUCAAACUGGAAGUCUAGAGUGCAGGAGAGGAGAAUGGAAUUCCUAGUGUAGCGGUGAAAUGCGUAGAGAUUAGGAAGAACACCAGUGGCGAAGGCGAUUCUCUGGACUGUAACUGACGCUGAGGCUCGAAAGCGUGGGGAGCAAACAGG
This 253-nucleotide non-coding RNA is filed under the name uncultured Clostridium sp. RNAcentral's name for it is "partial 16S ribosomal RNA". It matches the Rfam family "Bacterial small subunit ribosomal RNA", at positions 524 to 776 of the family's 1533-position model. RNAcentral also lists the same sequence under 4 other names. The record is from RNAcentral. Lineage: Bacteria; Bacillati; Bacillota; Clostridia; Eubacteriales; Clostridiaceae.